UGUUUCGGCUAGGGGGCCAUCCCGGCUUACCAACCCGAUGCAAACUGCGAAUACCGGAGAAUGUUAUCACGGGAGACACACGGCGGGUGCUAACGUCCGUCGUGAAGAGGGAAACAACCCAGACCGCCAGCUAAGGUCCCAAAGUCAUGGUUAAGUGGGAAACGAUGUGGGAAGGCCCAGACAGCCAGGAUGUUGGCUUAGAAGCAGCCAUCAUUUAAAGAAAGCGUAAUAGCUCACUGGUCGAGUCGGCCUGCGCGGAAGAUGUAACGGGGCUAAACCAUGCACCGAAGCUGCGGCAGCGAACGUAUCACUUAAAGCGAUUCAGCGGGUUACGAUUGACGGAGCGAAGCGACGUCAAAGCGUAUACAAAGUCGAGUCGGUUUAAGGAUACGUUCGUUGGGUAGGGGAGCGUUCUGUAAGCCUGCGAAGGUGGCCUGUGAGGGUUGCUGGAGGUAUCAGAAGUGCGAAUGCUGACAUAAGUAACGAUAAAGCGGGUGAAAAGCCCGCUCGCCGGAAGACCAAGGGUUCCUGUCCAACGUUAAUCGGGGCAGGGUGAGUCGACCCCUAAGGCGAGGCCGAAAGGCGUAGUCGAUGGGAAACGGGUUAAUAUUCCCGUACUUGGUGUUACUGCGAAGGGGGGACGGAGAAGGCUAUGUUGGCCGGGCGACGGUUGUCCCGGUUUAAGCGUGUAGGUGUGUGUUCCAGGUAAAUCCGGUUCACUUUAACACUGAGGCGUGAUGACGAGGCACUACGGUGCUGAAGCAACAAAUGCCCUGCUUCCAGGAAAAGCCUCUAAGCAUCAGGUAACAUCAAAUCGUACC
This 821-nucleotide ribosomal RNA is filed under the name Salmonella enterica subsp. enterica serovar Ago. RNAcentral describes it as "partial 23S ribosomal RNA". It matches the Rfam family "Bacterial large subunit ribosomal RNA", at positions 911 to 1648 of the family's 2925-position model. The record is from RNAcentral. Lineage: Bacteria; Pseudomonadati; Pseudomonadota; Gammaproteobacteria; Enterobacterales; Enterobacteriaceae.